This 1082-nucleotide long non-coding RNA is filed under the name Anas platyrhynchos platyrhynchos (common mallard). RNAcentral's name for it is "lncRNA (ENSAPLG00000029138.1)". The record is from RNAcentral. Lineage: Eukaryota; Metazoa; Chordata; Aves; Anseriformes; Anatidae.
AUGCAGACAAGCAACAGGAUUCUGAAAUUCCAAGUGAGCUCCACGGGACGUGAGCAGCUCCAUUUUCUUUCCCCAGCACGGACUGCGGAAAAAGCGUCUCCAAGAGAGCCGGCCGCCGCACGCCCGUCUGUCGGGCACAGGGCGGGGGCAGCUGCCCCCCCCCCCCGUCGGCGGGCGCCCGCGAGGGGCGCGGCCCGAGCCCCGCCGCCGAGCAGCACCGGGCUGCGAGCUCCGCGCCGCGCCGCCCCCCGAGCCGCCGUGCCCGCCCCCCGGCCUGGCGCUGCCGCGGGGCGCGAGCAGCAGGCUGCGGAGGCGGAAGUGAGAGUCUUCACCUAUCCAUCUGUUGUUCUAAAGUUACCCAGAAUUUUGUGCAACUUGCAACACAGAGAAGAAGCUGAGAAGCUCGCGUAUCAGUGCUGUUCCGGGAAGCUGUGCCUGUCACUCUACUUCUGCGCAUGCGCGGAGCCGGCCGGCUCGCCUAAGGAGAGGGACCAAGCAGCGCUGUAAGAGCCCCGCCCGCGGCAAAAUGGCGGCGCCCUUCUCCGCAGUGGGAGCCGCACGGGGCUGGCUCUGUGGGCGGAAGCGGAGCCGUGACUGGCUGGGAACCGAGGGCAAAAUAGACUUCAGGGCGUGCCGGCAUCCAGGGAGGAAACACUCCGUGCUUGGCUGGAGCACAGGGCGGAAUGGCGUUAAUGCGUGCCUCCAAUGAGACCCGAAACACUCUGUGAUUGGCUACGAACACUGAGGGCGGAAUAACCGACAAUGGACGCCCAGAGCAUACCGGGAAAUGAAGUUCUGGGACUCCGGACUUCAGGGAGGCCAUGUUUGGCUGGUAGGCAGGUGGAUGUGGGGAGCAACUUUGCCCCUCCCCUUCUCCAGGUGAUUGGGUUUGGGUGCUGGGCGGGGCCGAAUGCUAUAUGAGCCCCAGGCAUGCUAUCAGAGAGCUCCUUCUGCUUGGGCUGCUCUUUGGGGUAAGUGCUUUGUUUUUCCUUCAGUCAGUUGCAGGGUUCUCUAGGCAGGCUGGAGUUUAUAGAUUUCUAGAAUUUUUAGGUGCUUGGAAUUCACUUAGGAGAGGGAUGUUU